This is a non-coding RNA of Angiostrongylus costaricensis, 72 nucleotides long. The record is from Rfam. NCBI's taxonomy places the organism in Eukaryota, Metazoa, Nematoda, Chromadorea, Rhabditida, Metastrongylidae.
UCUGUUGUGGUCUAGUGGUUAGGAUUUGCGGAUAUCACAUGCAAGGUUCGGGAUCGAUUCUCGGCAAUGGAA